GUGAAUCAUCGAAUUUUUGAACGCAAAUUGCACUCUCCUCUGAGAGUAUGCCUGUUUGAGGUUCAGCCUAUAAAAUAUCGACAUCGUUGCCGUUUCGCGGUGGCGUUCGUCGGAAAUUGGGUCAUCUUACAUCUUUUGGUUUUACGCGCCUUAAAAUUUUCUUUUUGGUUCCAUGAAUGUUUUUAAGAUUUAUUUCUUUACACGUUUACGGUAUCGAUUUUUAUUAGACGCGACC
This 235-nucleotide unclassified non-coding RNA is filed under the name Glomeraceae sp. RNAcentral's name for it is "partial contains 5.8S ribosomal RNA and internal transcribed spacer 2". The stretch from base 1 to 65 matches the Rfam family "5.8S ribosomal RNA", at positions 84 to 154 of the family's 154-position model. The record is from RNAcentral. Lineage: Eukaryota; Fungi; Glomeromycota; Glomeromycetes; Glomerales; Glomeraceae.